RNAcentral lists this transfer RNA (64 nucleotides) under Dipodomys ordii (Ord's kangaroo rat). It matches the Rfam family "tRNA". Rfam says of the family: Transfer RNA (tRNA) molecules are approximately 80 nucleotides in length. Their secondary structure includes four short double-helical elements and three loops (D, anti-codon, and T loops). Lineage: Eukaryota; Metazoa; Chordata; Mammalia; Rodentia; Heteromyidae. The record is from Rfam by way of RNAcentral.
GGUGGCUCAGUGGUAGAGUGCUUGCUUUGCAUGCAUGAGGCCCUGGGUUCAAUUUCCAGCACCA